RNAcentral lists this ribosomal RNA (324 nucleotides) under uncultured bacterium. RNAcentral describes it as "bacterial SSU rRNA". It matches the Rfam family "Bacterial small subunit ribosomal RNA", at positions 199 to 507 of the family's 1533-position model. The record is from RNAcentral.
UUAGAAAGAUGGUUUCGGCUAUCACUUUAGGAUGGACCCCGCGGUGCAAGUUAGUUAGUUGGUGAGGUAAAGGCGCACCAAGACCGUGAUGCAUAGCCGACCUGAGAGGGUAAUCGGCCACACUGGGACUGAGACACGGCCCAGACUCCUACGGGAGGCAGCAGUAGGGAAUCUUCCACAAUGGACGAAAGUCUGAUGGAGCAACGCCGCGUGAGUGAAGAAGGUUUUCGGAUCGUAAAACUCUGUUGUUGGAGAAGAAUGUAUCUGAUAGUAACUGAUCAGGUAGUGACGGUAUCCAAUCAGAAAGCCACGGCUAACUACGUG